AUACUGAACCUGGCAGGUGAGAUACCUGAUCAUGAAAGUGGUUUUCCCAGGGCAAGUCGUGUCCAUUGCACUCUGAGUGUGCUGACCCCUGCAAUUUUCCCAAAUGUGGGAAACCUAACUGCAUAAUUUGUGGUGCUAGAGGACUGCGUUCACAAUCUGUAC
This is a small nuclear RNA of Artibeus jamaicensis (Jamaican fruit-eating bat), 162 nucleotides long. RefSeq annotates it as U1 spliceosomal RNA. NCBI's taxonomy places the organism in Eukaryota, Metazoa, Chordata, Mammalia, Chiroptera, Phyllostomidae. The record is from RefSeq and is a predicted model, not a curated record. The transcript has a single exon.